This 106-nucleotide ribosomal RNA is filed under the name Caerostris extrusa. The record is from RNAcentral. Lineage: Eukaryota; Metazoa; Arthropoda; Arachnida; Araneae; Araneidae.
CAUACCAUGCUGAAUAUACCGGUUCUCGUUAGAUCACCGAAGUCAAGCAUCAUUGGGCGCGGUCAGUACUUGGGUGGGUGACCACAUGGGAACACCGCGUGCCGUU